GUGAGGAAUAUUGCGCAAUGGAGGCAACUCUGACGCAGCCAUGCCGCGUGCAGGAAGAAGGCGCUACGCGUUGUAAACUGCUUUUAACCGGGAAGAAACCCCAGGACGUGUCCUGGGUUGACGGUACCGGAGGAAUAAGCACCGGCUAACUUCGUGCCAGCAGCCGCGGUAAUACGAAGGGUGCAAGCGUUAUCCGGAUUCAUUGGGUUUAAAGGGUGCGUAGGCGGAGCGUUAAGUCAGUGGUGAAAUCCUGCGGCUUAACUGUAGACUUGCCAUUGAUACUGGCGCUCUUGAGUGCGCUUGAAGUGGGCGGAAUGUGCCGUGUAGCGGUGAAAUGCUUAGAUAUGGCACAGAACACCAAUUGCGAAGGCAGCUCACUAAGGCGAUACUGACGCUGAGGCACGAAAGCGUGGGGAUCGAACAGGAUUAGAAACCCGUGUAGUCC
This 445-nucleotide ribosomal RNA is filed under the name uncultured bacterium. Its description in RNAcentral is "partial 16S ribosomal RNA". It matches the Rfam family "Bacterial small subunit ribosomal RNA", at positions 354 to 796 of the family's 1533-position model. The record is from RNAcentral.